GAAGUAAAGACAAUGGGCUUCAUGGUGAGAAAAUUUGUUAUUACGGUCCUGACAUAUCACCAGGCAGUAUUCAAGGGAAGAAGAAUUUAACAUUUGUGACAGUUCAGUAGCUCUAUUUCUGAUGAAUGAACAACAGCUGUAAAUAGGCCUUUGGAAAUGUUCAGAAUCAUAACUAGCUGAGAUGGAAUUCCUUCUUUAGGAUAUGGCGCAAGAAAGAGGGGAACAUAAGUGCUCUUUUCCACAGGUGGUGGAUACAACAUGCCAAAGAAUAGAUAUUUCUUAUAGGCCGUCAUCACCUCCAGAGAUUCAGCUCAUGCUGACUUAACAAUACCAGAUAUUUAUCGACCAAUAAGAAUUUCGUAAAGAAAAUGGAAAGUGCUCUUCUAUUUUAAUGGAGAAUGAAGGCUCAUCAAUACAACUGUCCCUAGAGCAAACAGGAACAGACAGCGUGUUAUGUGUGGGCCGCAUAACAUUUCCUUGUGUGGUCUUUUUUUUCCACUGUAUUGUUACAUCUGAUAAUUGUCUAUAUUGGGAGUCAGAGGUAGAUUGCACUCGUAUAUGGAAUUAAAAGGAACAGAAAAAGUGAAAAGGCAGCAAAAUAUUGUGUUUUUUUGUGUGUAUCCUCUGAAUUUGCCUCUGAAGUCAUUGGCCUUGAGUGCCUAGGUAAGGCUAAAUUACUCCUUGGAAGGUUCUAUAAAAAAUUCCUUAUUAAGUACACUACAUUUUUUUAGGUCAUGGAAAUAAAAUGAUUUUGACAUUUGCAAUAAUGCUCUGAUUUGAGUUUAGAAGAAAACAUAGCCUGCAAUUGAUUUCACUAACUGGAGUGUGACCUAUAUUGCAAACCCUAUAUCCUUCCUUUAAUUUUUAAAUAAUUAAUUGCCAAGACAUACAAAUACUAAAAAAAUUUGAUUGUUUCUUCAGAGAAUAGUAAUGUCUUUUGUCUUUUUCUUUGGAUGAAAAAAUAAGAUAAUAGCAGAGGAAAUACAAAGCUAAAACACCUGUGAUCCAGCACAACUGUCAGUUAGAAAAGUACAAGUCAAUGUCCAUAGUCAGCUGAUUAAAGUUAAGCAGGUGUAUCAAAAAUGAUGACAGGUACUUGUGCAUAAGAAAGUACGAGCUUCCAUAAUUGAACCUGAUCACUCGAUAUCUUCAUGUGGGCCUAUUUCAUAGAAUCAUUUUAAUGUGAAUGUUUCUGUUAUAAAAGGGAUAUGUUAUGUUUUGCUAAAUAAUUUUAUCUACAUGUUGUAUGUAAUAGAACUGGUCAAUAUAGAUAUAAUUAAGAAGGCCAACCAUAAUUUAUUCAAUAUUGUAUUAGUUCACAGGAAUAAUUUUAAAAACUUGACACUUUAUUGACUGUUCUGCAAUGAGGCAUUAAGUAAUAAUAUGGUGUUUAUUAUUAACUUCAUAUUUAGAUAAACUUAACAUGGGCUUUAAAGAAUUUACUGAAGAGGAUUAAAUACAUUUUUGAGGGGCCACACUCUAUUAUUUUAUUAGAUUAGAUUACUACAGAAAGUAGCUCUGUAUUCAUUUUCUAAUACUGAAAAGUUCUGGCAUUUAGUUGAAAGAUCUGUAUAUCAAAUGUCCAAUCUGCAGUCCCCUUCCUUUUGAUUCAAGUGAAGAACCUUUAUCUGAAUGACAUGGUCAAUACUAUACUGUCUAUACAGAAUGGCUGUUCCUCAGUUCACCCUUGUUGGGAUAUGAACUUUGAAGAUUUCCUUUUAGUUUAUCCUAUAGCCUCUCACUAGUAGCACUUUCUGUAUAUGGCACAUGAUAUAGGUGCCUCGUGUGCAGUAAAUUGCCUGCUCAUGUUGUCCCGGAGGCCUAGAUGUCACGUAAAGGGCAUUCACCUACUUGAAAAAGUUACUGCUUUCCGUAGUAUAAAAUUACUGGAGUAUGCAUAGGACAUGAAUGCUUUCAGUAAUCUGUGGGAUUUUUCCUAAUUAAUGCUAUCUAUCAAGAUAAUUGUUACACACCUCAGAGUAUAAAUAGCCACAUAUUGUAUUCUAAAAGUAGAUCUCUAGUUUCAUUGCCAGAUAUCUCUCAGCACAAACUAGAUUAGUAUGAGAACAACCUGCUUUUGUUUUAAUGCACAAACCAAACUUUGAACAUCUGCAUUCCAAGUACAAAAAAAGUCCAUUGUAAAUAUGUCAGCAAGAAUUAAUAUCAUUAAUGACAUGCUUAUUUGAUCAAGGGAAUACAUUAAAAUACAAAGAGUAAUUUCCUAUGAAAAAAAGUAAUAAGACCAGUAAAAAGGAAUAGAAAUGUCCAAAAAACUUGAGAGAAGAAAAGUGCUUGGACCUUGACUAAGGUCACAAACAUUUAAGUACUGUCAUUGUAAUAUAUGUCAGAAAAGUUAUAGAACUAAGAAAGUUUUAUGUUAUGUAUUUCCUUUAAAGCUUGCAAUCAGGUUUACUCUGAUAUCUUAAUAUCUGUUUUGGUAAUUUGUUAAGGUUUAAAAGGUGAGUAAAAUGUAUACAAGGUAUUGGCUGAGGAACUUUGUGUUGGAAGUUAAUAAACAUCAGUGUCAAAUUGGAAAGAUUUUGCAUAUUUAUAUUGCAAGGAAAAAGUCACUAGGCUUUCUUACUUGGUUAGGAAGGGCACUUCCAUAUGUCAUCUCUAUGAUUUGAAGUGGGCUAUACUUCUCCCUUCUAUUGGUUUAAGAAUUACACACACUGUAUAUUCUUCUACCACGUAAUAACUUAGAAGGAUUUAUUGAAAAGUUCAAAAUAUGCUGUUUUUGUUUUUAUUCCAUUGAUGAAAUAAAUGCAUGAAUGGGAGUAACAGAAUAUAUUAACACAUCUAGAGAAAAAUAUUGUUGCUUAUCCCUGCAUAGCUGCUGGUACAUCACAGAUAGCAACAACAAAAAUCCAUAACCAGUACUAUGAUUUGGAUGUCUUCUCCAUAACUCAUGUUGAAAUUUAACUGCCAUUGUGAUGAUCUUGGCAAGUGGAGCCCCUAAGUGGUGAUUAAGUGGCAGAGUCUUCAUAAAUCCUGUUAUUUCAUGAGUGGUUUAGACUCCUGGGAAUGAGUUCCCCAGGAUAUCCUUUCUCUGUCUCACAGGCUCCUUUGUUCUCUCUCAUCAUGAGAUAUCUUCCACCAUGUUUUCACACAGCAAGGGGAUCCUUAUCAGAUGCAAACCCUCUAUCUGGAAUUUCCAGACUCCAUAGCUAAGAACUGAUAAAAAUUUCUAUUGUUUAUAAUUUGCCCAGUGUGUAGUAUUCUGUUACAGCAAUAGAAAAUGGACUAGGACUACCAGCCAAAAUCUUAGGUCAGAACCUAAAGUGACUCCAGUGAGACAUUAGAUGAAUAACUAAUUAACAAAUCCUAAAAAUUAUAAUUGCAAGCUUUAAAAAAAUAAUCUUAUGAAAGAAUAAGUCUUGUUAUGUAACAUGGACCACUUGGAUCUUACUGUCUCAGCAAGAUGCUAUAAUUCUUAGUAAGCAAAAAUUAAAUACUCAUCUUUAAUUAGAAGUCUAUCUUGUUGAACUUACUCUACUUUUGGAAAACAACCAGUGAUUGCCAAAUACCUUUCAGACAUAACUAUUUGAGGUGACCCUGUUGUUGGCAAAGGGUCUAAUGUAUUGAACAUGUUGGCAAACUCUGAUACUGCUCUUUCUUCACUCAAUACCAUCUAGCUGCACUGGAUUCCUUUUAUUCUGCAUUCUCCCCAAGUUCCUGCCUUUGAUCUUGUUCUCCAUGUCUAAAAUGGUUGACUGCAGGGAGCUCUCCUUUUAAUAUUUCUAGAUAUGAUUCAAAUGAAAUUUUUGUUAAAGCCAAAAUAUCCCAACCUUGUUAAAAUUAGCCAGCUCCCCUCUUUUUAUAAUAUAAUUUGUAUCCCCUUUAUACUGUUUUAUAUACUCUCAUAUUAUCAUAUUUCUUUAUCAAUAUUUAUGAUUUAUUUUUUGUCAUUCCCCCAGAUUGAGUUGUUUAUUAUUGUAUUUCCAGAACAUAGAAGGGGGCUUGGCAUACGAUAGAAAUUCCUUAUUAUUGACUGAGCGCUUAUGUAUGCUGAAAUUACUUCGAAGGAUAAAAAUGCAUUUAUCAAAUGAUACAAUGAAUCACUGACUGAAUUAUCAAUCUGAAAUGUUUAAGUGGAUUCUCCCAACCGUUUCAGGGAACAUAAUCCAAAAAAAAAAAGCAAAGAAAAUGACUGGUUUAAUGAUUUAAAUGAUAAGUGGAACAAUGAGUAAGUAAUCAUGUCACUGCAUAUGUUUUAAAUAUUUCACUCCAUGCUUUUCUUGCAUGCAUGGCUUCUGACAAGGAGUCUGUUGCAAUUCUUGUCCCAGUUUCUCUAUAGGUAAGAUAUUUUUCCCCUGGCUUUUUCUUUUCUAAAGAUUUCACAUCAUUUUUGUUUAUCUGAAGUAUGAAUAUGAUAUGCCUAGGUAUAAUAAUCUUUUUGUUUUAUUCUAAAAUGCUGCUUGUUGUUCUCCGAGCUUCCUGAGUAUGUGGUUUGGUGUUUAUCAUUAAAAUUUGAAAGUUCUCCGUC
Molecule: long non-coding RNA, 4486 nt
Organism: Gorilla gorilla gorilla (western lowland gorilla)
Lineage: Eukaryota; Metazoa; Chordata; Mammalia; Primates; Hominidae
Exons: 3
Source: RefSeq, a predicted model, not a curated record